Molecule: long non-coding RNA, 1945 nt
Filed under: Citrus x clementina
Lineage: Eukaryota; Viridiplantae; Streptophyta; Magnoliopsida; Sapindales; Rutaceae
Description: Citrus clementina (C. clementina) long non-coding RNA (CCLE_LNC004709)
Source: RNAcentral
ACGGGCGGGUUUUGGCGGGUGGGUUUGGGCGGAUUUGCGGGUUUGCGGGUACAAUUGCCAUCCCUACCUUAGAUAUUAGAGUGCCAUAUAUCCCUCAAAUAUUAGAGUGUUAUACAAGAUUUAGUAGAUUUAACGUGAAUGAUUAGUUUUAAUAAUUAUUUGAUUGUAAAUAUCAGUAGUAACAUCGUAUAAUUCAAAAAAAAAAAAUAGUUGGACUCUAUUUUAUAUGUUUUACCAUGCAUAUUUUAGAAACUGUCCACCGAACAUAUAUCACAUUAGAAUUUUGAAAAUAAAAAUGAAAAUAGGUGUUAUGAAAUAAUAUCAAACGGGCCUUAAAACUCUAAAUUUUACCUACUAAUACUCAAUGAAAUAGAGAUAUAAAUAUCAUUUUGGUAUUAUUAUCAUUACUAUUUUUGUUUAUUUAGCAGCAUUGAAUAUAUCAAUGAAUCAUAUUUUUUAGGAUAUACGCAAUGAUAAAAUAAUUUUGAAGAAGUGAAUGAUUGAAGGUGUUUUAUUUAUUCAUUUCUGUUUGUACUGGUAUUACAAUCAAUUAUAGAAAAAACUAAAUUUGUAUGCCCACUCAAACGUUGCGUUCUACCUGGUGCAUCAUGUAUCAUGUUCUAUUACUUGUUAAUAAAGAAAUACGAACUACUUUAAAAUUUACUUCACAAAAUCAGUUUAUUUCAUCCCCCCCCCCCCCCCCCAACCCAAUAUUGAGUCAAAAAGAUUUAUUUUUUCUGUUGGGUGGCUGUAAUGCAAUCGAUUAAAUCCAGGGUAGUUUUGAUGUUAACGUUCGCAGCUCGGAGGUUUGAAGACUAUUCGCAAUUGGAUAUUCGAUGAGAGAUCUGGAAAUGCCAUUGGCGUUUCAUGUUAUAUGAUGCGCAAGUGAACUUAACAUCAUUAUGUGCACUCGAGAGAAUAUAAUAUUAGAAAAAUGAUUCGAAAUGGCAAAUGAAGUUAAAAAAAUUGGCAGUGUUUGUGGAAUGGCCUUUUCGUGGAGAAAUUGGAAGGGAAUCGAACAAUGAACAUGGCACAAAGAGACAAAACUUUCAACUCGUUCACUGUGCACAAAUAGUCUUUUGUCAAUUCAGCAUCACAUGAUGCUCCUUUGCCUUUAAGACCUAGCAAACUUUUUCAUGCCAACCCUAACUGUAUCUGACUGCUCUAGUGCUGCCCAAUUAAUUUUUAAGAAAUAUUUUUUUAAAUAAUGUUAGAAAUUUUAAUUUGUAUGUUAAUUAGAGUAUGUAACAUUCAUUUGUAAAAUGAUGUAAUAGUAAUUUUAUUGAUUAAGAAUUUUAUCAUUCAAAAAAUGAAUGAUACACAUAAAUGUUGAAAUUAUUAACAUUAUUAUUAUUUUUUUGGUUGUGAAUAUAUUAAUGGUGAAAGGAAUCUAGAAUAAUCUCCCACGCAAAAAUAAGAUUAGAUUUAUUCAAGAAUGUAAAACUAAUUAUAUCUAUUAACAAUUUCAUGGAACAUAUAAUUCUUCUUUUCUAAAAACAAAUUUGUAUUCUUGUUUUUUUUUUUUUAAUUUCAAAAACAUUGACGAAAAUAAAGUUUUAACAAGAAUAUAAUUAACAAGGCUCCUGCUCAGUGAUAACUAGUGGUGCUGAUUCGAGUCCUUCAUGUGGGAAACUCAACAUAUUUUUCCUGUCACCCGUUGUGGUUAAAAGUAGAUAUCUCACUAAAUACGCGAGUAGAUAUCUUGCAAAUAGUUUAUGUUGAUUUUCGAUUAUGACCUUGGUAAACUUCUACCAUAAGCGUAUCAAUACAAAUUUCUAGUGGAUCCCAAGUUGUAAUAUAUAUCUAGCUUUAUAACAAUUUAAAAAGAAAAACAAGAACAUUGAGAAAUGAUUAAACGUUGCCCAUGCUAAAAUAAUAAAUCAUUAUGCCACGAAUAUUUACCCUUUAGGUUAGGUUAGAUUAGAUUAUACUAGAUAUAUAAUCU